GACGAACGCUGGCGGCGUGCUUAACACAUGCAAGUCGAACGGAAAGGCCCUGCUUUUGUGGGGUGCUCGAGUGGCGAACGGGUGAGUAACACGUGAGUAACCUGCCCUUGACUUUGGGAUAACUUCAGGAAACUGGGGCUAAUACCGGAUAGGAGCUCCUGCUGCAUGGUGGGGGUUGGAAAGUUUCGGCGGUUGGGGAUGGACUCGCGGCGUAUCAGCUUGUUGGUGGGGUAGUGGCUUACCAAGGCUUUGACGGGUAGCCGGCCUGAGAGGGUGACCGGCCACAUUGGGACGGAGAUGCGGCCCAGACUCCUACGGGAGGCAGCGGUGGAGAAUAUUGCACAAUGGGCGGAGGCCUGGUGCAGCAACGCCACGUGCGGGAAGAGGGCCUUCGGGUUGUAUACCACUUUCGCCUGUGACGAGGCGUGAGUGACGGUACCUGCAGAAGAAGCACCGGCUAACUACGUG
This 468-nucleotide ribosomal RNA is filed under the name uncultured bacterium. RNAcentral describes it as "partial 16S ribosomal RNA". It matches the Rfam family "Bacterial small subunit ribosomal RNA", at positions 28 to 507 of the family's 1533-position model. The record is from RNAcentral.